CCAGACUCCUACGGGAGGCCGCCGUGGGGCCUCUUGCACCAUGGGGGCCCCCCUGAUGCCGCGCCGCCGCGUGCCGGCCGAAGUAUUUCGGUAUGUAAACUUCUCUCAGCAGGGCCGCCACUGACGGUCCCUGCCUAAGAAGCCCCGGCUAACUACGUGCCCGCAGCCGCGGUCCUCCGUAGGGGGCCAGCGUUAUCCGGAUUUCCGGGGUGUCACGGGAGCGGAGGCGGUUUAGCAAGUCAGAAGUGAAAGCCCGGGGCUCAACGCCGGGACGGCGUGGGAAACGGUGGAACUAGAGGGCAGGAGAGGUAAGGGGAAUUCCUAGGGGAGCGGUGAAAGGCGGAGAUAUUAGGAGGAACACCAGUGGCGAAGGCGGCUUACGGGAAGGUAAAUGACGCGGAGGCGCGAAAGCGGGGGGAGCCAACAGGAGGAGAGACCCGAGUA
This 444-nucleotide ribosomal RNA is filed under the name uncultured bacterium. RNAcentral's name for it is "bacterial SSU rRNA". It matches the Rfam family "Bacterial small subunit ribosomal RNA", at positions 331 to 792 of the family's 1533-position model. The record is from RNAcentral.